This 90-nucleotide transfer RNA is filed under the name Cerasicoccus arenae. RNAcentral's name for it is "tRNA-Ser". It matches the Rfam family "tRNA". From Rfam's summary of the family: Transfer RNA (tRNA) molecules are approximately 80 nucleotides in length. Their secondary structure includes four short double-helical elements and three loops (D, anti-codon, and T loops). Further hydrogen bonds mediate the characteristic L-shaped molecular structure. tRNAs have two regions of fundamental functional importance: the anti-codon, which is responsible for specific mRNA codon recognition, and the 3' end, to which the tRNAs corresponding amino acid is attached (by aminoacyl-tRNA synthetases). tRNAs cope with the degeneracy of the genetic code in two manners: having more than one tRNA (with a specific anti-codon) for a particular amino acid; and 'wobble' base-pairing, i.e. permitting non-standard base-pairing at the 3rd anti-codon position. The record is from RNAcentral. Lineage: Bacteria; Pseudomonadati; Verrucomicrobiota; Opitutia; Puniceicoccales; Cerasicoccaceae.
GGAGAGGUGGCUGAGUGGCCGAAAGCACAUCUUUGCUAAAGAUGCGAAGGAGAAAUCCUUCCGCGGGUUCGAAUCCCGCCCUCUCCGCCA